This 403-nucleotide ribosomal RNA is filed under the name uncultured bacterium. Its description in RNAcentral is "bacterial SSU rRNA". It matches the Rfam family "Bacterial small subunit ribosomal RNA", at positions 135 to 518 of the family's 1533-position model. The record is from RNAcentral.
UGUCUGGAAUAAUACGCCAAAGGGGUACUAAUACCGGAUAUCUUGCUUUUCAUAAGUUAUGGCAAGCAAAGGUGGCCUCUGCAUAUGCUACUGCAUGAAGAGGGGUCUGCGUACCAUUAGCUAGUAGGUGGGGUAAUGGCCUACCUAGGCGACGAUGGUUAGCGGGUCUGAGAGGAUGAUCCGCCACACUGGCACUGGAACACGGGCCAGACUCCUACGGGAGGCAGCAGUGAGGAAUAUUGCGCAAUGGGGGAAACCCUGACGCAGCGACGCCGCGUUGAGUGAGGAAGGCCUUCGGGUCGUAAAGCUCUGUCAAGAGGAAAGAAGUGUACAAUGGCUAAUACCUGUUGUAUUUGACGGUACCUCUAAAGGAAGCACCGGCUAACUCCGUGCCAGCCGCCGC